This 253-nucleotide ribosomal RNA is filed under the name uncultured bacterium. RNAcentral describes it as "partial 16S ribosomal RNA". It matches the Rfam family "Bacterial small subunit ribosomal RNA", at positions 524 to 776 of the family's 1533-position model. The record is from RNAcentral.
UACGUAGGCAGCGAGCGUUGUUCGGAGUUACUGGGCGUAAAGGGUGUGUAGGCGGUUCUUUAAGUUUGGUGUGAAAUCUCCCGGCUCAACCGGGAGGGUGCGCCGAAUACUGAGGGACUCGAGUGCGGGAGAGGAAAGUGGAAUUCCUGGUGUAGCGGUGAAAUGCGUAGAUAUCAGGAGGAACACCGGUGGUGUAGACGGCUUUCUGGACCGUAACUGACGCUGAGGAGCGAAAGCGUGGGGAGCGAACAGG